AUUAGCUUGUUGGUGGGGUAACGGCCUACCAAGGCGACGAUGGUUAGCUGGUCUGAGAGGAUGAUCAGCCACACUGGGACUGGAACACGGCCCAGACUCCUACGGGAGGCAGCAGUGGGGAAUAUUGCGCAAUGGGCGAAAGCCUGACGCAGCAACGCCGCGUGGGUGAAGAAGGCCUGAGGGUUGUAAAGCACUUUCAAUUGUGAAGAAAAGUUAACGGUUAAUAACCGUUGACCUUGACGUUAACUUUAGAAGAAGCACCGGCUAACUCCGUGCCAGCAGCCGCGGUAAUACGGAGGGUGCAAGCGUUAAUCGGAAUUACUGGGCGUAAAGCGUGCGUAGGCGGUUUAUCAAGUCAGAUGUGAAAUCCCCGGGCUUAACCUGGGAACUGCAUUUGAAACUGGUCAACUAGAGUAUGGUAGAGGAAAGUGGAAUUUCUGGUGUAGCGGUGAAAUGCGUAGAUAUCAGAAGGAACAUCAAUGGCGAAGGCAGCUAACUGGCCCAAUACUGACGCUGAGGUACGAAAGCGUGGGUAGCAAACAGGAUUAGAUACCCUGGUAGUCCACGCCGUAAACGAUGAUAACUAGCCGUUGGGGGGAUUUACCCUUUAGUGGCGAAGCUAACGCGUUAAGUUAUCCGCCUGGGGAGUACGGCCGCAAGGCUAAAACUCAAAGGAAUUGACGGGGACCCGCACAAGCGGUGGAGCAUGUGGUUUAAUUCGAUGCAACGCGAAGAACCUUACCUGGUCUUGACAUCCUGCGAACUUUCUAGAAAUAGAUUGGUGCCUUCGGGAACGCAGUGACAGGUGCUGCAUGGCUGUCGUCAGCUCGUGUCGUGAGAUGUUGGGUUAAGUCCCGUAACGAGCGCAACCCCUAUCCUUAUUUGCCAGCACAUUAUGGUGGGAACUAUAAGGAGACUGCCGGUGAUAAACCGGAGGAAGGCGGGGAUGACGUCAAGUCAUCAUGGCCCUUACGACCAGGGCUACACACGUGCUACAAUGGGAAGGACAAAGAGCCGCGAAGCCGCGAGGUGUAGCUAAUCUCACAAAUCUUCUCGUAGUCCGGAUUGGAGUCUGCAACUCGACUCCAUGAAGUCGGAAUCGCUAGUAAUCGUAGAUCAGAAUGCUACGGUGAAUACGUUCCCGGGUCUUGUACACACCGCCCGUCAUACCAUGGGAGUGGGUUGCACCAGAAGUGGCUAGUCUAACUUAGCGAG
This 1215-nucleotide ribosomal RNA is filed under the name uncultured bacterium. RNAcentral's name for it is "bacterial SSU rRNA". It matches the Rfam family "Bacterial small subunit ribosomal RNA", at positions 240 to 1446 of the family's 1533-position model. The record is from RNAcentral.